GACGAACGCUGGCGGCGUGCUUAACACAUGCAAGUCGAGCGGUAAGGCCCUUUCGGGGGUACACGAGCGGCGAACGGGUGAGUAACACGUGGGUGACCUGCCCUCAGCUCUGGGAUAAGCCUGGGAAACCGGGUCUAAUACCGGAUAUGACUCCAUGACGCAUGUUGUGGGGUGGAAAGCCUUGUGCGGCUGAGGAUGGGCCCGCGGCCUAUCAGCUUGUUGGUGGGGUGANGGCCUACCAAGGCGACGACGGGUAGCCGGCCUGAGAGGGCGACCGGCCACACUGGGACUGAGACACGGCCCAGACUCCUACGGGAGGCAGCAGUGGGGAAUCUUGCGCAAUGGGCGAAAGCCUGACGCAGCGACGCCGCGUGAGGGAUGACGGCCUGGUUGUAACGUACUU
RNAcentral lists this ribosomal RNA (403 nucleotides) under uncultured bacterium. RNAcentral describes it as "bacterial SSU rRNA". It matches the Rfam family "Bacterial small subunit ribosomal RNA", at positions 28 to 435 of the family's 1533-position model. The record is from RNAcentral.